CGGAGCGUAGCGCAGUCUGGUAGCGCACCUGGAUGGGGUCCAGGGGGUCGGAGGUUCGAAUCCUCUCGCUCCGACCA
This 77-nucleotide transfer RNA is filed under the name Nitratireductor sp. RNAcentral's name for it is "tRNA-Pro". It matches the Rfam family "tRNA". Rfam says of the family: Transfer RNA (tRNA) molecules are approximately 80 nucleotides in length. Their secondary structure includes four short double-helical elements and three loops (D, anti-codon, and T loops). Lineage: Bacteria; Pseudomonadati; Pseudomonadota; Alphaproteobacteria; Hyphomicrobiales; Phyllobacteriaceae. The record is from RNAcentral. RNAcentral also lists the same sequence under 3 other names.